This 75-nucleotide transfer RNA is filed under the name Candidatus Saccharimonadota bacterium. Its description in RNAcentral is "tRNA-Gly". It matches the Rfam family "tRNA". Rfam says of the family: Transfer RNA (tRNA) molecules are approximately 80 nucleotides in length. Their secondary structure includes four short double-helical elements and three loops (D, anti-codon, and T loops). Further hydrogen bonds mediate the characteristic L-shaped molecular structure. tRNAs have two regions of fundamental functional importance: the anti-codon, which is responsible for specific mRNA codon recognition, and the 3' end, to which the tRNAs corresponding amino acid is attached (by aminoacyl-tRNA synthetases). tRNAs cope with the degeneracy of the genetic code in two manners: having more than one tRNA (with a specific anti-codon) for a particular amino acid; and 'wobble' base-pairing, i.e. permitting non-standard base-pairing at the 3rd anti-codon position. RNAcentral also lists the same sequence under 1 other name. The record is from RNAcentral. Lineage: Bacteria; Candidatus Saccharimonadota.
GCGGGCGUCGUAUAGCGGUUAAUAUCCAAGUUUUCCAAACUUGUGACGAGAGUUCGACUCUCUCCGCCCGCACCA